Molecule: ribosomal RNA, 2151 nt
Filed under: Escherichia coli
Lineage: Bacteria; Pseudomonadati; Pseudomonadota; Gammaproteobacteria; Enterobacterales; Enterobacteriaceae
Description: bacterial LSU rRNA
Rfam family: Bacterial large subunit ribosomal RNA
Source: RNAcentral
AGCGUACACGGUGGAUGCCCUGGCAGUCAGAGGCGAUGAAGGACGUGCUAAUCUGCGAUAAGCGUCGGUAAGGUGAUAUGAACCGUUAUAACCGGCGAUUUCCGAAUGGGGAAACCCAGUGUGAUUCGUCACACUAUCAUUAACUGAAUCCAUAGGUUAAUGAGGCGAACCGGGGGAACUGAAACAUCUAAGUACCCCGAGGAAAAGAAAUCAACCGAGAUUCCCCCAGUAGCGGCGAGCGAACGGGGAGCAGCCCAGAGCCUGAAUCAGUGUGUGUGUUAGUGGAAGCGUCUGGAAAGGCGCGCGAUACAGGGUGACAGCCCCGUACACAAAAAUGCACAUGCUGUGAGCUCGAUGAGUAGGGCGGGACACGUGGUAUCCUGUCUGAAUAUGGGGGGACCAUCCUCCAAGGCUAAAUACUCCUGACUGACCGAUAGUGAACCAGUACCGUGAGGGAAAGGCGAAAAGAACCCCGGCGAGGGGAGUGAAAAAGAACCUGAAACCGUGUACGUACAAGCAGUGGGAGCACAGAGCAAUCUGUGUGACUGCGUACCUUUUGUAUAAUGGGUCAGCGACUUAUAUUCUGUAGCAAGGUUAACCGAAUAGGGGAGCCGAAGGGAAACCGAGUCUUAACUGGGCGUUAAGUUGCAGGGUAUAGACCCGAAACCCGGUGAUCUAGCCAUGGGCAGGUUGAAGGUUGGGUAACACUAACUGGAGGACCGAACCGACUAAUGUUGAAAAAUUAGCGGAUGACUUGUGGCUGGGGGUGAAAGGCCAAUCAAACCGGGAGAUAGCUGGUUCUCCCCGAAAGCUAUUUAGGUAGCGCCUCGUGAAUUCAUCUCCGGGGGUAGAGCACUGUUUCGGCAAGGGGGUCAUCCCGACUUACCAACCCGAUGCAAACUGCGAAUACCGGAGAAUGUUAUCACGGGAGACACACGGCGGGUGCUAACGUCCGUCGUGAAGAGGGAAACAACCCAGACCGCCAGCUAAGGUCCCAAAGUCAUGGUUAAGUGGGAAACGAUGUGGGAAGGCCCAGACAGCCAGGAUGUUGGCUUAGAAGCAGCCAUCAUUUAAAGAAAGCGUAAUAGCUCACUGGUCGAGUCGGCCUGCGCGGAAGAUGUAACGGGGCUAAACCAUGCACCGAAGCUGCGGCAGCGACGCUGAUGCGUUGUUGGGUAGGGGAGCGUUCUGUAAGCCUGCGAAGGUGUGCUGUGAGGCAUGCUGGAGGUAUCAGAAGUGCGAAUGCUGACAUAAGUAACGAUAAAGCGGGUGAAAAGCCCGCUCGCCGGAAGACCAAGGGUUCCUGUCCAACGUUAAUCGGGGCAGGGUGAGUCGACCCCUAAGGCGAGGCCGAAAGGCGUAGUCGAUGGGAAACAGGUUAAUAUUCCUGUACUUGGUGUUACUGCGAAGGGGGGACGGAGAAGGCUAUGUUGGCCGGGCGACGGUUGUCCCGGUUUAAGCGUGUAGGCUGGUUUUCCAGGCAAAUCCGGAAAAUCAAGGCUGAGGCGUGAUGACGAGGCACUACGGUGCUGAAGCAACAAAUGCCCUGCUUCCAGGAAAAGCCUCUAAGCAUCAGGUAACAUCAAAUCGUACCCCAAACCGACACAGGUGGUCAGGUAGAGAAUACCAAGGCGCUUGAGAGAACUCGGGUGAAGGAACUAGGCAAAAUGGUGCCGUAACUUCGGGAGAAGGCACGCUGAUAUGUAGGUGAAGUCCCUCGCGGAUGGAGCUGAAAUCAGUCGAAGAUACCAGCUGGCUGCAACUGUUUAUUAAAAACACAGCACUGUGCAAACACGAAAGUGGACGUAUACGGUGUGACGCCUGCCCGGUGCCGGAAGGUUAAUUGAUGGGGUCAGCGCAAGCGAAGCUCUUGAUCGAAGCCCCGGUAAACGGCGGCCGUAACUAUAACGGUCCUAAGGUAGCGAAAUUCCUUGUCGGGUAAGUUCCGACCUGCACGAAUGGCGUAAUGAUGGCCAGGCUGUCUCCACCCGAGACUCAGUGAAAUUGAACUCGCUGUGAAGAUGCAGUGUACCCGCGGCAAGACGGAAAGACCCCGUGAACCUUUACUAUAGCUUGACACUGAACAUUGAGCCUUGAUGUGUAGGAUAGGUGGGAGGCUUUGAAGUGUGGACGCCAGUCUGCAUGGAGCCG